UCGCAGCAGCCGCGGCGGCGAGAGGGAGGCCGAUGAACGUGAGAGCUGUAAGACCUGCUCACAAUGGACAACAGGCCGGCCAACGUUCACGACCGGAUGGCUCCGGACCUUGGGGAAAACAUUCAUUUGCGGCCGCGGCGGCUAGGAACCGCCCGCCCCACCCCGAGGACAGGAAGAAGAAGCGUGCGACCUAACACGCCGGUAUUCUCCUGCCUUUCUCUCUCCGCCUGCAAAAAGAAGAAGGUGGGAAUACAGCCCUUCGGUUCUGAGUUCAGUAAGGGCUCAUUAUGUUUGAGCCAGUGUCACCAAGCACUCACACACACAGGGGAAUUGAAAAUAAAACAUGCAUUUUCGCAGCCAAGCCACGGGCUGAGGGCGAUAUGCUCCCCGAGUUCAAAAAGUAUGAAAAUAAAAAUAAA
This is a non-coding RNA of Paramisgurnus dabryanus, 419 nucleotides long. Lineage: Eukaryota; Metazoa; Chordata; Actinopteri; Cypriniformes; Cobitidae. The record is from RefSeq and is a predicted model, not a curated record.